Molecule: ribosomal RNA, 493 nt
Filed under: uncultured bacterium
Lineage: Bacteria
Description: bacterial SSU rRNA
Rfam family: Bacterial small subunit ribosomal RNA
Source: RNAcentral
GACGAACGCUGGCGGCGCGCCUAACACAUGCAAGUCGAGCGAGAACCGGGCCUUCGGGCCCGGGGACAGCGGCGAACGGGUGAGUAACACGUGGGCAACCUGCCCUCGGCACUGGGAUAGCCCGGGGAAACCCGGAUUAAUACCGGAUAGCCUCCGGAGCCUUCGGGCGCCGGAAGAAAGGUGGCUUCGGCAUCCGGCCGAGGAGGGGCCCGCGGCGGAUUAGCUUGUUGGUGGGGUAAUGGCUCACCAAGGCGACGAUCCGUAGCUGGUCUGAGAGGACGAUCAGCCACACUGGGACUGAGACACGGCCCAGACUCCUACGGGAGGCAGCAGUGGGGAAUCUUGCGCAAUGGGCGAAAGCCUGACGCAGCGACGCCGCGUGCGGGAAGAAGGCCUUCGGGUUGUAAACCGCUUUCAGGAGGGACGAAGCCACUCGGGUGAACAGCCCAGAGGGUGACGGUACUUCCAGAAGAAGCCCCGGCUAACUACGUGC